This 254-nucleotide ribosomal RNA is filed under the name uncultured bacterium. RNAcentral's name for it is "partial 16S ribosomal RNA". It matches the Rfam family "Bacterial small subunit ribosomal RNA", at positions 524 to 776 of the family's 1533-position model. The record is from RNAcentral.
UACGGGGGGGGGCUAGCGUUGUUCGGAAUUACUGGGCGUAAAGCGUGCGCAGGCGGCUUUGCAAGACAGAUGUGAAAUCCCCGGGCUUAACCUGGGAACUGCAUUUGUGACUGCAUGGCUGGAGUGCGGCAGAGGGGGAUGGAAUUCCGCGUGUAGCAGUGAAAUGCGUAGAUAUGCGGAGGAACACCGAUGGCGAAGGCAAUCCCCUGGGCCUGCACUGACGCUCAUGCACGAAAGCGUGGGGAGCAAACAGG